UGAUCAAAUUGUUUAAAUUUUUCAUUGUGUCUCUUUGAGAGAAACUUGUUGCGUGGUUAAAUAUUUUGCACAAAAUUUAUCACUAACAAUGACAGAAUGUGAAGAAGUUUGUCUCUACACCACUGAUCACACUAUAACAAGAAUUCGCAGCACAGUUAUGCUUUGUAAAGAGUACGGAAGCUAUAUUUCAUUUGCUCAACCGACAAAUCGAACUCGCGUCUAUGAAUAGAUAGUAUCAGGCAAUAUCAUGCAAGUGCACGUUUAUAUUAUGGUAUGGGCAGUGUUACUUUUUGUUAAUAUAUCUUAACAACAUUUUCUCAAUA
Xenia sp. Carnegie-2017 is the source of this 323-nucleotide long non-coding RNA. RefSeq lists it as uncharacterized. The record is from RefSeq and is a predicted model, not a curated record. Lineage: Eukaryota; Metazoa; Cnidaria; Anthozoa; Malacalcyonacea; Xeniidae. The transcript has 2 exons.